Molecule: long non-coding RNA, 2165 nt
Organism: Leopardus geoffroyi (Geoffroy's cat)
Lineage: Eukaryota; Metazoa; Chordata; Mammalia; Carnivora; Felidae
Exons: 5
Source: RefSeq, a predicted model, not a curated record
GACUUGAGCCGAAAUCAAGAGUUGGAGGCUUAACUGACUGAGCCACCCAGAUGAGGAAACUGAACUCCAGAGAGUUUAAGCAACUUCCUGAAAGCUGCUAGAUAAUAAAGGUGGAGCCGGAUCUGGACCCCAGGAGAUUCACCUCCUCCCAAUAUGCCUUGCUUCCUGUUCACACAGCCACAUUGUUGGAAGAGAAUUCCCAUAAUUCUACACAUCUGGUCAUAUGAGUCAUUAGAUCAAAUCAUAUAAUAGCACGGAGAAUUUCCAAAAAUGUUCCAUGAGGCUGAUUUACAAGAUAAGCUGUUGGAGGAAAUUAAAUCCACACCUCCCAGGACUUUGGAUUUUAUUUGUUUCCGGAGUUGGGAACACAGCUGCCGGUCGUGAGUGAAUAUCUGCCCCGAUUUGUCGCCAAGAAGGGUAAGAUGAAAGUUAAUGGAAGCCCCACAAUUUCUGACUUCUGUAUCUGUGAUGAAAGCACCAUAUGCUGCCUCUGAGGUGUGUUUAUUUCUUUUCUUCGAAACCUGGUUUCAACUCCUGAAGAAGUUCAGCAUCACUGUUGACUUAGUGACAUGACACAAAUCUAUUGUCACUAUAUGAUGAUUUCCAAAUUGGAUCCACGAUGUGAGUUUGAAUCACAGAAUUGAGGCCAAGUGGGAUGAAGAGAGAUGCGACUGUGGCAGUAACGGAAGUCAUGAUGUUUAUCUCUCCAGUACACUUAGCAACUUAUUUAACUUCAAAAUAUUUUUGUUUUAUGUCAGUUUUUUGCUUGUUUGUUUCUCUGGAUGUGAAUCAGAGAAGAUACUGGGUGUGAGAGCUUCAGGGAUGGCUAAAGAAGGAUGCAAAUAAAACUUACUUCCAAAGAGAAUAGUAAAAAAUAAAAUAAAAUAAGCACAUUUGUAUUAAUGUUGUCACUCUUAACAUUCACUAUCAAAAAUCAAAAGACUCAUGUAAAUAGAAGUAACAGACGUAAUUCUACUAACUCAGCCUCAAUGUCAGUGAUAUUAUUACCCAUGAUACCAAACAGCAUGACAAGUUUAUCAUGAUUAUUUAGAACACCAACAUGACCAUCUCCAGUUCAUAGUAUGACUUCUUCCAAUAAUACAGCUAAAGUUAAUGAGUUGGGGUGAGUGUUCUCACUAAUUUGUUUAUAUACAGGCCACUUGAGAUGUAUACACUAGGAAGUAAUCUCUGAGCAGAGAGAGACCAUAGGGUUCCAUAAUGAAGACAAAACAUGUACAAAAUGUCACAUUUGUUAAACACGAAAGAUGAGUUGUAUCAUGUCUGUAUGUGUCUGUGCCUAGACUUCAAAUAAUAUGGAUGUAUAUAUAAAGCUUCAUUUCAAGAUAAAAAGUUACCAUCUUAUUUGAGCAUAAUUGGGAGAUGUCGAGUGAACAGUUUACACCCUCCUUUAAACUAUUUACUUUUCUAUAGAAUCACUCUUACUAAACCUAAAACACGUUCCUUUGUUAAUGACAAUUGCAACUGGAAGAAAUCACGCAGCAGUUGGGAAAUAUCAUUCAUGUCCAAGAAUUCAUUUCUUCAAAUUUCUCUUACUAUUUUUAUUCAUGGCACAGAAAUGCAACUCUGUCUGCAAGAAGCCACCGGGCAUAAAUAUAGACAGGCACUUACCUCUUUGUCCAACAUAAUCAUUCAUCCGUGUUGGUGGAAGGAUGGAGGGAGGAGGGAGCAAGAAAGGAGUGAAUCAUUCUAUAUCCUUCAGGUGAAUAAUUUACUUGUUUGGUUUAAAUAAACCACAUUGAGGAAUAUCAAUUAUUUAAGAUUACUUGUAUACAGCUCAGUAUGUUAUAACCUUGUGAAGCAAAUUCUUGGCCCUGGUGCCUCAGUAGUUUCAAAGAGUUUAAGGCCCUCUCUGUCUAAAGUGAAAAGAAGAGUUUUCACUUUAGGAUCUACACUCAAAAGUCAUUUGGUCUCAACCACAACUUGGCCACUAGUUUAAACCUGGAUCAAGUAUUUUGUUAUCAACUGGUAAGGGUUUAAUCAUUUCUGUUUAUUUUAUGUAUUUUUCCUCUUAUGUGGUACAUUUCCACCAUAAAUUCAAAACUGAAUUAUUUCAUUCGCAUAAAAAUAUUUAUUAUUUCCUCUGGGUCUAAUAAGAUGCUUCAGGCUAUGUAUGUUAUCAAUAAACCAAUGAUUCUCACCUUUAA